AGGAUGAACGCUGGCGGCGUGCCUAACACAUGCAAGUCGAACGUCCUGUCUCGCAAGAGGCAGGGAGUGGCGGACGGGUGAGUACCACGUGGGUUAUCUACCGUGAGGUGAGGAAUACCGGCGAGAAAUCGCCGACAAGACCGCAUAGCCUCGGUGCAAGCCGAGGAAAGCUUUCUCGAGAGAGGGAGCGCCACACGAGGAGCCUGCGCCCGAUUAGCUAGCUGGUGGAGUAACGGUUCACCAGGGCGACGAUCGGUAGCUGGUCUGAGAGGACGAUCAGCCACACUGGGAUUGAGAACGGCCCAGACUCCUACGGGGGCAGCAGUGAGGAAUUUUCGUCAAUGGGGGCAACCCUGAACGAGCAACGCCGCGUGCAGGAGAAGGUUUUCGGAUCGUAAACUGCUUUUCUCGGGGAAGAGAAUGGACGGUACCGAGGAAUCAGCCCGGCUAACUACGUGCCAGCAGCCGC
This 469-nucleotide ribosomal RNA is filed under the name uncultured bacterium. RNAcentral describes it as "SSU rRNA". It matches the Rfam family "Bacterial small subunit ribosomal RNA", at positions 26 to 518 of the family's 1533-position model. The record is from RNAcentral.